This 419-nucleotide ribosomal RNA is filed under the name uncultured bacterium. RNAcentral's name for it is "bacterial SSU rRNA". It matches the Rfam family "Bacterial small subunit ribosomal RNA", at positions 28 to 450 of the family's 1533-position model. The record is from RNAcentral.
GACGAACGCUGGCGGCGUGCUUAACACAUGCAAGUCGAACGGUAAGGCCCUUCGGGGUACGACGAGUGGCGAACGGGUGAGUAACACGUGGGUGAUCUGCCCUGCACUUCGGGAUAAGCCUGGGAAACUGGGUCUAAUACCGGAUAGGACCAUGGACUUCACGGUUUGUGGUGGAAAGCUUUUGCGGUGUGGGAUGGGCCCGCGGCCUAUCAGCUUGUUGGUGGGGUAAUGGCCUACCAAGGCGACGACGGGUAGCCGGCCUGAGAGGGUGUCCGGCCACACUGGGACUGAGAUACGGCCCAGACUCCUACGGGAGGCAGCAGUGGGGAAUAUUGCACAAUGGGCGCAAGCCUGAUGCAGCGACGCCGCGUGAGGGAUGACGGCCUUCGGUUGUAACCGUACUUUCUAAUAGGACGAAG